RNAcentral lists this unclassified non-coding RNA (350 nucleotides) under Hevea brasiliensis (rubber tree). The record is from RNAcentral. Lineage: Eukaryota; Viridiplantae; Streptophyta; Magnoliopsida; Malpighiales; Euphorbiaceae.
AUACAAUCAAAAUAAAACAGAGCAGAGUAGUACUGAACACUCUAUUUCGUGUAAUUUCACGAGUAGAGUCUCAGAAAAAGAAAUGGCGAUUAAAAGGGAAGCAAAAUGUUGGAUGGAAGUUGCUGUUCCAGUAGUAGUAAAGGCACCAAAUAAGAUUUCAGUUUCUCCCAAACUGGACGCUAUAUUUGAAGAAGCAGAAGAAGAUGAUUUUGAGGAUUGAUUUAAUAAUAUUUCUAGGUAGGGGAAUUCUGUUUUUUAUUUUAUUUUCCCUAAAAAUUUUGGUUUAAUUAAUUAGAUAUGUGAUUUUGUAUUUCAUCAUUUGAGUAUUGUUAAGAAUUGAAAUAACUCUA